RNAcentral lists this ribosomal RNA (510 nucleotides) under uncultured bacterium. RNAcentral describes it as "partial 16S ribosomal RNA". It matches the Rfam family "Bacterial small subunit ribosomal RNA", at positions 28 to 507 of the family's 1533-position model. The record is from RNAcentral.
GACGAACGCUGGCGGCGUGCUUAACACAUGCGAGUCGAACGAAGAGCGAUGGAAGCUUGCUUCUAUCAAUCUUAGUGGCGAACGGGUGAGUAACGCGUAAUCAACCUGCCCUUCAGAGGGGGACAACAGUUGGAAACGACUGCUAAUACCGCAUACGAUCUAACCUCGGCAUCGAGGAUGGAUGAAAGGUGGCCUCUAUUUAUAAGCUAUCACUGAAGGAGGGGAUUGCGUCUGAUUAGCUAGUUGGAGGGGUAACGGCCCACCAAGGCGAUGAUCAGUAGCCGGUCUGAGAGGAUGAACGGCCACAUUGGGACUGAGACACGGCCCAGACUCCUACGGGAGGCAGCAGUGGGGAAUCUUCCGCAAUGGACGAAAGUCUGACGGAGCAACGCCGCGUGAGUGAUGACGGCCUUCGGGUUGUAAAGCUCUGUUAAUCGGGACGAAAGGCCUUCUUGCGAAUAGUUAGAAGGAUUGACGGUACCGGAAUAGAAAGCCACGGCUAACUACGUG